UAUUUACAAUGGGAAAACGAAGUACUAGACAAAGAGGUUGACUAUGACUUAUGUCAAAUUGAUCCAGCUCCAUUCCAACUUGUAGAAAGAACAUCACUACUUCAGGUCAUUCAGGUGCACAAAUUGUUUGCUUUGUUAAAUCUUUCUCAUGCCUAUGUCACAUCACUUGGUCGGCUUGUUGGAGUGGUUGCUCUUACUGAGGUUCGGCAAACUGUUGAAGGACACGAGACACAUGAGGAAAUGCAUCGAAAUCAUCAUGCAGUUUCAUAACUUCAUAAGGCAGAUAUUACCAGCUACAGAGUCGAGGUUUUUUGACAAAAUUUUAUUGCAGACAUCGUAUUACACAAGUGCAUUGAUAUUACACAACUACACAAAAAAUAUGGAGAAUAAAUACAAAUGUAUGGGUGGAUGUUGAUUGGCAAAGAGAAAGCUCAUUAAUAAGUGUACACUAGGCCUAUCACUAUGAAUGGCUUAGUGACUGACAACCAACACCAAUUCACAAAUAUCAACAUUGAUACACCACUAAUUGAUUGACAGUUGAUCAACUAAUUUAACAAUCUAUGUAUUUUCACAUGAGAUUAAUGCAUUUUGUAAAUAGGCCAUAAUUUAUUCCAAAUUGAAUUCAUGACCAAAAAGUAAUGUUAACUGUUAAAGUAGUUUUGUAUGUAGGAAAAAAUGUUUAAAACAAUACAAAUUAAAUGUUCUACUGUUCAACAGUUCAAGAUAGCAAGUUAGAUGGCUAUUAAAAAAUGUUUUACAACGUUUACGCAGUUUACUGAUAUUUGUGAACCCUAUGUUGUCUCCUAUGCGUAUUAUUAUUUCACUUUGGACUCUUCGGACCCUCUUUGGGACGGUACCAAUGGAAAUUCUAGAACUGAAUCAUCUA
This is a long non-coding RNA of Dendronephthya gigantea, 886 nucleotides long. RefSeq lists it as uncharacterized. The record is from RefSeq and is a predicted model, not a curated record. Lineage: Eukaryota; Metazoa; Cnidaria; Anthozoa; Malacalcyonacea; Nephtheidae. The transcript has 3 exons.